CUGAGAGACAUCACGGUGUGGAGAAAUGAAACUAUUAACCUAACCUAAUCCAUUUUAACCGGGUGCUUUCGCUGGUUGUAAAAUCAAACAGAGAGUGUGUUUUCCGUGAUGUCUUUAAUUU
This 121-nucleotide non-coding RNA is filed under the name Crematogaster levior. Lineage: Eukaryota; Metazoa; Arthropoda; Insecta; Hymenoptera; Formicidae. The record is from RNAcentral.